RNAcentral lists this ribosomal RNA (292 nucleotides) under uncultured bacterium. RNAcentral describes it as "partial 16S ribosomal RNA". It matches the Rfam family "Bacterial small subunit ribosomal RNA", at positions 505 to 796 of the family's 1533-position model. The record is from RNAcentral.
UUGCAAGCCGCCGCGGUAAUACGUAGGGUGCGAGCGUUAAUCGGAAUUACUGGGCGUAAAGCGUGCGCAGGCGGUUUUGUAAGACAGGCGUGAAAUCCCCGGGCUCAACCUGGGAACUGCGUUUGUGACUGCAAGGCUAGAGUACGGCAGAGGGGGGUGGAAUUCCACGUGUAGCAGUGAAAUGCGUAGAGAUGUGGAGGAACACCAAUGGCGAAGGCAGCCCCCUGGGUCGAUACUGACGCUCAUGCACGAAAGCGUGGGUAGCAAACAGGAUUAGAAACCCCCGUAGUCC